GCCUGCAUGAAGCUGGAAUUGCUAGUAAUCGCGGAUCAGCAAGCCGCGGUGAAUACGUUCCCGGGCCUUGUACACACCGCCCGUCACACCAUGAGAGUCGGGAACACCCGAAGUCCGUAGUCUAACCGCAAGGGGGGCGCGGCCGAAGGUGGGUUCGAUAAUUGGGGUGAAGUCGUAACAAGGUAAC
RNAcentral lists this ribosomal RNA (187 nucleotides) under uncultured bacterium. Its description in RNAcentral is "partial 16S ribosomal RNA". It matches the Rfam family "Bacterial small subunit ribosomal RNA", at positions 1314 to 1500 of the family's 1533-position model. The record is from RNAcentral.